UCCAGGUUCACCAACCCUAGCUUCCUUUCUCAGCCUAGCCCUUUAGUCUUUAGUUCUUCGGCCGUAGCUCCACAAGUAAUAAUUAUUUGUUAGUGUCAUCAAAAGGGUGUGUUCCACAUAUUCUUUUUACUCCCAACGGGGAGCCCUGGUAAGAUUCUGAUCAAUGGCACGAAGAAUGGCAUGAGAAAUGUUGGACAAAAUGAAUUCAUCCUCACAUUUAUAGUAGUGUAGUUAUCAUUUUGUUACUAUAUAGCACUACCCUACUGAAAAAAAAACAACAUUUUUUUAUUACUUGCCC
Molecule: non-coding RNA, 298 nt
Organism: Pelobates cultripes (western spadefoot toad)
Lineage: Eukaryota; Metazoa; Chordata; Amphibia; Anura; Pelobatidae
Source: the annotation of a GenBank genome assembly